GAAUUUAUUCAGAAUAUAUAGGGAGUUAGGUUUGGACUCUUUGGACAAAGCGUAGGAGAGGAGACUGGAAAUUGGUGUAUAGCGCUUGUACUCCCUAGUAGGAACUUACUUGGGAAUUUCAGAUGUGCCGUCGGCAAUGGCGACAAAGAUCGGCGGCAGCAAGAAGAAGAUAGAAACAAAGCAAUAGAGAUUUUAGAAAUUUAGGGCUAGAGUG
This 214-nucleotide long non-coding RNA is filed under the name Coffea arabica (coffee). Its description in RNAcentral is "long non-coding RNA (CARA_LNC002212)". Lineage: Eukaryota; Viridiplantae; Streptophyta; Magnoliopsida; Gentianales; Rubiaceae. The record is from RNAcentral.